UGGAAGUAUUCACUAGAUAUUCACCAGCGUCCUUUGGCUCCUUUUGUCCAAGUCCAGACCACGUGCAGCAUUCCACCGGGACAGACGUGCGCUCACCUGAAGAUGUGCCUCUCACCUCCUUCUAUCCAAGAAAGAUGGCCCAGAAGAAGAGUUUACAGUAUGAAGAUAAAUGCUAUCAACAACACUGGAUGAACAAGAGGCCCUAAUGCAGCGGCCAACCCAAGGCCCUGUCACACAUCCAUGCUCAGUGCAGUUGUGUCGGUGCUGGCACCUGGCCCUGAGGGCAGGGAGCCCUGUGCCAGCCAUGAGCUCUGCGCCAGGAUGUUCUCCUCCAGGCACUCUGCUGGCGUCGCUGUGCUCAGGGCUGCCAAAGCUGCCUGCACGAACAAACACAGAGCUCUGGAACUGCCACCUGGCUGUCUCUCGAGCUCUCUUCUUUUAUUUAUCUCGGUAGCAGCAGCAGCCAAGGUUUGGAGCAGGCUGUGGCAUCAGGAGCUGGAGAAUCGCAGGAACAUCACUGGGCUCAGGUAUCUGCAAAGCCACCACCGACAAAAGGAAGCAAAACAACAACUUGAGGACACUUACGUACAAUGUACAGAGGCUGUGUCUGGAGUAACACAAGUGCUUCUCAGACUCCAAAACCUUUUAUCCCAAAAGCCAGUGUGGUCACCUUUCCAACACACUUUCUGUUCCUAAUUGCAUGACCAGACAAGAAGAAGAUAAAAAGAAAUUUUCAUGUGCGCAUCUCAGGCAUGCAGUGCCUGGCUUUUAGCAGACAGCCUGCAGUGGGGGCUCUAAUGUGAUGCACAUCAUUUGGAGGUGUAUGAGCAAUAGGAAUGACCUGCCAU
Molecule: long non-coding RNA, 848 nt
Filed under: Numida meleagris (helmeted guineafowl)
Lineage: Eukaryota; Metazoa; Chordata; Aves; Galliformes; Numididae
Description: lncRNA (ENSNMEG00000015020.1)
Source: RNAcentral